This is a non-coding RNA of Phrynosoma platyrhinos (Desert horned lizard), 73 nucleotides long. Lineage: Eukaryota; Metazoa; Chordata; Lepidosauria; Squamata; Phrynosomatidae. The record is from the annotation of a GenBank genome assembly.
GCCUGCGUGGCAUCAUGGUUUGAGUGUUGGGCUGCCCCUCUGGAGAUCCAGGGUUCGAUUCCCAGCUCAGCCA